GAUGAACGCUGGCGGCGUGCCUAAUACAUGCAAGUCGAGCGAACAGACGAGGAGCUUGCUCCUCUGACGUUAGCGGCGGACGGGUGAGUAACACGUGGAUAACCUACCUAUAAGACUGGGAUAACUUCGGGAAACCGGAGCUAAUACCGGAUAAUAUAUUGAACCGCAUGGUUCAAUAGUGAAAGACGGUUUUGCUGUCACUUAUAGAUUGAUCCGCGCCGCAUUAGCUAGUUGGUAAGGUAACGGCUUACCAAGGCAACGAUGCGUAGCCGACCUGAGAGGGUGAUCGGCCACACUGGAACGGAGACACGGUCCAGACUCCUACGAGAGGCAGCAGUAGGGAAUCUUCCGCGAUGGGCGAGAGCGUGACGGAGCAACGCCGCGUGAGUGAUGAAGGUCUUCUGAUCGUAAAACUCUGUUAUUAGGGAAGAACAAAUGUGUAAGUAACUAUGCACGUCUUGACGGUACCUAAUCAGAAAGCCACGGCUAACUACGUG
RNAcentral lists this ribosomal RNA (497 nucleotides) under uncultured bacterium. RNAcentral's name for it is "partial 16S ribosomal RNA". It matches the Rfam family "Bacterial small subunit ribosomal RNA", at positions 28 to 507 of the family's 1533-position model. The record is from RNAcentral.